Molecule: transfer RNA, 72 nt
Filed under: Paracoccidioides americana
Lineage: Eukaryota; Fungi; Ascomycota; Eurotiomycetes; Onygenales; Ajellomycetaceae
Description: Paracoccidioides sp. 'americana' tRNA-His
Rfam family: tRNA
About the family: Transfer RNA (tRNA) molecules are approximately 80 nucleotides in length. Their secondary structure includes four short double-helical elements and three loops (D, anti-codon, and T loops). Further hydrogen bonds mediate the characteristic L-shaped molecular structure. tRNAs have two regions of fundamental functional importance: the anti-codon, which is responsible for specific mRNA codon recognition, and the 3' end, to which the tRNAs corresponding amino acid is attached (by aminoacyl-tRNA synthetases). tRNAs cope with the degeneracy of the genetic code in two manners: having more than one tRNA (with a specific anti-codon) for a particular amino acid; and 'wobble' base-pairing, i.e. permitting non-standard base-pairing at the 3rd anti-codon position.
Source: RNAcentral
GUAGGUAUAGUUUAAUAGGUAAAACAACUGUAUGUGGCAUAGCAUAUCCUUGUUCAACUCAAGGUACCCACC